AGUCGAGCGGACAGAUGGGAGCUUGCUCCCUGAUGUUAGCGGCGGACGCCUUUUUAACACGUGGGUAACCUGCCUGUAAGACUGGGAUAACUCCUGAAAACCGGGGCUAAUACCGGAUGCUUGUUUGAACCGCAUGGUUCAAACAUAAAAGGUGGCUUCGGCUACCACUUACAGAUGGACCCGCGGCGCAUUAGCUAGUUGGUGAGGUAAUGGCUCACCAAGGCAACGAUGCGUAGCCGACCUGAGAGGGUGAUCGGCCACACUGGGACUGAGACACGGCCCAGACUCCUACGGGAGGCAGCAGUAGGGAAUCUUCCGCAAUGGACGAAAGUCUGACGGAGCAACGCCGCGUGAGUGAUGAAGGUUUUCGGAUCGUAAAGCUCUGUUGUUAGGGAAGAACAAGUACCGUUCGAAUAGGGCGGUACCUUGACGGUACCUAACCAGAAAGCCACGGCUAACUACGUGCCAGCAGCCGCGGUAAUACGUAGGUGGCAAGCGUUGUCCGGAAUUAUUGGGCGUAAAGGGCUCGCAGGCGGUUCCUUAAGUCUGAUGUGAAAGCCCCCGGCUCAACCGGGGAGGGUCAUUGGAAACUGGGGAACUUGAGUGCAGAAGAGGAGAGUGGAAUUCCACGUGUAGCGGUGAAAUGCGUAGAGAUGUGGAGGAACACCAGUGGCGAAGGCGACUCUCUGGUCUGUAACUGACGCUGAGGAGCGAAAGCGUGGGGAGCGAACAGGAUUAGAUACCCUGGUAGUCCACGCCGUAAACGAUGAG
RNAcentral lists this ribosomal RNA (771 nucleotides) under Bacillus sp. PG_02. RNAcentral's name for it is "bacterial SSU rRNA". It matches the Rfam family "Bacterial small subunit ribosomal RNA", at positions 60 to 813 of the family's 1533-position model. Lineage: Bacteria; Bacillati; Bacillota; Bacilli; Caryophanales; Bacillaceae. The record is from RNAcentral.